UGGUGCAGUGGUAGCACAUAAGUCUCACAAGCUGAAGGUCCUGAGUUCAAUCCUCGG
RNAcentral lists this transfer RNA (57 nucleotides) under Monodelphis domestica (gray short-tailed opossum). It matches the Rfam family "tRNA", at positions 8 to 63 of the family's 71-position model. From Rfam's summary of the family: Transfer RNA (tRNA) molecules are approximately 80 nucleotides in length. Their secondary structure includes four short double-helical elements and three loops (D, anti-codon, and T loops). The record is from Rfam by way of RNAcentral. Lineage: Eukaryota; Metazoa; Chordata; Mammalia; Didelphimorphia; Didelphidae.